RNAcentral lists this unclassified non-coding RNA (359 nucleotides) under uncultured Chytridiomycota. RNAcentral describes it as "sequence contains ITS1". The stretch from base 1 to 101 matches the Rfam family "5.8S ribosomal RNA", at positions 50 to 154 of the family's 154-position model. Lineage: Eukaryota; Fungi; Chytridiomycota. The record is from RNAcentral.
GAAAUGCGAUACGUAAUGUGAAUUGCAGAAUUCCGUGAAUCAUCGAAUCUUUGAACGCACAUUGCACUCUGUUUCGGCAGAGUAUGCCUGUUUGAGAAUCUAUAGUAUUCAUUCUCCAAUCUUGGGUAUUUAUACCUAUGCGAGGAGAGAUUUGAGGCGUCGCACUUACACUGCGUGCUUUUAAAACUAUUGCUGCUGGAUACUGUCAAGUAACGGAAAAGUAUGUGUAUGAGACUUCGGUUUCUCUAAUACUCAGUACGGGUGAUGGUGUAUGUCCGGCACUCAACUAUUAAAGGCAACCUUUCGGGGUUGACUUGAACCAUGGUCUCAAAUCAGGCAGGAAGACCCGCUGAACUUAA